AGGACGAACGCUGGCGGCGUGCUUAACACAUGCAAGUCGAACGGUGAAGCCCUUCGGGGUGGAUCAGUGGCGAACGGGUGAGUAACACGUGAGCAAUCUGCCCUUGACUCUGGGAUAACUUCGGGAAACCGGAGCUAAUACCGGAUACGACGCACGGAGGCAUCUCCUGUGUGUGGAAAGAUUUAUCGGUCAGGGAUGAGCUCGCGGCCUAUCAGCUAGUUGGUGAGGUAAUGGCUCACCAAGGCGACGACGGGUAG
Molecule: ribosomal RNA, 257 nt
Filed under: uncultured soil bacterium
Lineage: Bacteria
Description: partial 16S ribosomal RNA
Rfam family: Bacterial small subunit ribosomal RNA
Source: RNAcentral